CCUACGGGAGGCAGCAGUGAGGAAUAUUGGUCAAUGGACGAGAGUCUGAACCAGCCAAGUAGCGUGAAGGAUGACUGCCCUAUGGGUUGUAAACUUCUUUUAUAUGGGAAUAAAACGUUCCACGUGUGGGAUUUUGUAUGUACCAUAUGAAUAAGGAUCGGCUAACUCCGUGCCAGCAGCCGCGGUAAUAUGGAGGAUCCGAGCGUUAUCCGGAUUUAUUGGGUUUAAAGGGAGCGUAGGUGGAUUGUUAAGUCAGUUGUGAAAGUUUGCGGCUCAACCGUAAAAUUGCAGUUGAAACUGGCAGUCUUGAGUACAGGAGAGGUGGGCGGAAUUCGUGGUGUAGCGGUGAAAUGCUUAGAUAUCACGAAGAACUCCGAUUGCGAAGGCAGUUCACUGGACUGCAACUGACACUGAGGCUCGAAAGUGUGGGUAUCAAACAGGAUUAGAUACCCCAGUAGUC
This 460-nucleotide ribosomal RNA is filed under the name uncultured bacterium. RNAcentral's name for it is "partial 16S ribosomal RNA". It matches the Rfam family "Bacterial small subunit ribosomal RNA", at positions 338 to 795 of the family's 1533-position model. The record is from RNAcentral.